CACGUAGGGUGCGAGCGUUGUCCGGAAUUAUUGGGCGUAAAGAGCUCGUAGGCGGUGUGUCGCGUCGGCCGUGAAAACCUGCAGCUUAACUGUGGGCGUGCGGUCGAUACGGGCAUCACUGGAGUUCGGCAGGGGAGACUGGAAUUCCCGGUGUAGUGGUGAAAUGCGUAGAUAUCGGGAGGAACACCAGUGGCGAAGGCGACUUCCUGGCCUGUUCUUGACGCUGAGGCGCGAAAGCUAGGGGAGCAAACGGG
This 254-nucleotide ribosomal RNA is filed under the name uncultured bacterium. Its description in RNAcentral is "partial 16S ribosomal RNA". It matches the Rfam family "Bacterial small subunit ribosomal RNA", at positions 524 to 776 of the family's 1533-position model. The record is from RNAcentral.